GCCUAGGAUGAGCUCGAACAUUACAAAUAUAGGCUAUACUACUUAGGAGUUUGUCACAAUUACAGUAAGUGUUUUCAAAGAUUCUUGCAUUUCUUUCCAUCCAUAUACUAUAGAACAUUUCUGUGAUAGUCAUCUUGAAUGUGAGAGCUCUGACAGAUUUCCCUUUGGAUUGUAGAAUGAUCCAAUUGCAGAAUUGCAUCCAGUUAUGUC
RNAcentral lists this long non-coding RNA (210 nucleotides) under Nicotiana benthamiana. RNAcentral describes it as "long non-coding RNA (NBEN_LNC033024)". The record is from RNAcentral. Lineage: Eukaryota; Viridiplantae; Streptophyta; Magnoliopsida; Solanales; Solanaceae.